UACGGGGGGAGCAAGCGUUGUUCGGAUUUACUGGGCGUAAAGGGCGCGUAGGCGGUCAGCACAAGUCAGUUGUGAAAUCUCCGGGCUUAACUCGGAAAGGUCAACUGAUACUGUGCGACUAGAGUGCAGAAGGGGCAACUGGAAUUCUCGGUGUAGCGGUGAGAUGCGUAGAUAUCGAGAGGAACACCUGCGGCGAAGGCGGGUUGCUGGGCUGACACUGACGCUGAUGCGCGAAAGCCAGGGGAGCGAACGGG
Molecule: ribosomal RNA, 254 nt
Filed under: uncultured bacterium
Lineage: Bacteria
Description: partial 16S ribosomal RNA
Rfam family: Bacterial small subunit ribosomal RNA
Source: RNAcentral